Molecule: transfer RNA, 73 nt
Filed under: Myotis davidii
Lineage: Eukaryota; Metazoa; Chordata; Mammalia; Chiroptera; Vespertilionidae
Rfam family: tRNA
About the family: Transfer RNA (tRNA) molecules are approximately 80 nucleotides in length. Their secondary structure includes four short double-helical elements and three loops (D, anti-codon, and T loops). Further hydrogen bonds mediate the characteristic L-shaped molecular structure. tRNAs have two regions of fundamental functional importance: the anti-codon, which is responsible for specific mRNA codon recognition, and the 3' end, to which the tRNAs corresponding amino acid is attached (by aminoacyl-tRNA synthetases). tRNAs cope with the degeneracy of the genetic code in two manners: having more than one tRNA (with a specific anti-codon) for a particular amino acid; and 'wobble' base-pairing, i.e. permitting non-standard base-pairing at the 3rd anti-codon position.
Source: Rfam by way of RNAcentral
GCUGGUGUGGCUCAAUGGAUAGAGCAUCGGCCUGCGGACCAAAGGGUCCCGGGUUCAACUCCCGUCAAAGGCA